UACAGAGGGUGCAAGCGUUAAUCGGAAUUACUGGGCGUAAAGCGUGCGUAGACGGUUAUGUAAGUCGGGUGUGAAAGCCCCGGGCUCAACCUGGGAAUUGCAUUCGAGACUGAAUAGCUAGGGUACGGUAGAGGGAAGCGGAAUUUCCGGUGUAGCGGUGAAAUGCGUAGAUAUCGGAAGGAACAUCAGUGGCGAAAGCGGCUUCCUGGACCAGUACCGACGUUCAGGCACGAAAGCGUGGGGAGCAAACAGG
This 253-nucleotide ribosomal RNA is filed under the name uncultured bacterium. Its description in RNAcentral is "partial 16S ribosomal RNA". It matches the Rfam family "Bacterial small subunit ribosomal RNA", at positions 524 to 776 of the family's 1533-position model. The record is from RNAcentral.